UUCCGGUUGAUCCUGCCGGACCCCACUGCUAUUCGAGAUGGACUUAAGGUAUUGCUAGUCGAACGACCAGAACUAUGUCUGGAAGGUGGCCCCACUGCUCAAGUAACCACGGUAGCUUAACCUACCCUUAGGACGUGGAUACCCCCGAGAAAAUUGGGUUAAUCCGCGAUAGAUGUAAUGUCCUGGAAAUGGGUAUUACGUCCAAAAGUAUUCCAUACAUGUUUGGAAAUAUGCCUAAGGAUGGGGCUGCGGCCCGAUCAGGCUGUUGGUGAGGUAAUGGCUCACCAAACCUUUGACCGGUACGGGCCAUGAGAGUGGUAGCCCGGAGAUGGACACUGAGACAAGGGUCCAGGCCCUAAGGGGCGCAGCAACCGCGAAACCUCCACAAUGCACUCACGUGCGAUGGGGCUAUCUCGAGUGCCACCUGAUGAAGGUGGCUUUUCCUAGGUCUUCAAAGCCUUGGGAAUAAGAGGGGGGCAAGACUGGUGUCAGCCGCCGCGGUAACACCAGCCCCUCGAGUGGUGGGGAUGAUUAUUUGGCCUAAAGCGUCCGUAGCCGGCCGUGUAAGUCUCCCGUUAAAUCCAGCGUCUCAAGCGUUGGACUGCGGGAGAUACUGUACGGCUAGAGAGUGGGAGAGGUCAGCGGUAUUCUGGGGGUAGGGGCGAAAUCCUUUGAUCCCCGGAGGACCACCAGUGGCGAAGGCUGCUGACUAGAAC
Molecule: ribosomal RNA, 716 nt
Filed under: uncultured archaeon
Lineage: Archaea
Description: bacterial SSU rRNA
Rfam family: Archaeal small subunit ribosomal RNA
Source: RNAcentral